Ictalurus punctatus (channel catfish) is the source of this 500-nucleotide long non-coding RNA. RefSeq lists it as uncharacterized. The record is from RefSeq and is a predicted model, not a curated record. The transcript is spliced from 3 exons. Lineage: Eukaryota; Metazoa; Chordata; Actinopteri; Siluriformes; Ictaluridae.
AGACGUGUGUGAGGACAACAAUUAAAAUUUGUAUAAAACGAGCCAGUAACCCCUGCUCAGGCAAAUUUGAUCUUAGCGAGAGAAGGGAACUGAGCUUCACACACCUGCUGAGAACAUGAAGAUGAGUCGUGUGUUUCUGGUCCUGGGCUUCGUCCUGAUUAUGGCGCUCUACUCAGACGCUAAAUUGCCUGAUCCUCAUCCUGUCUCCUGCUGUUUCGAUUUCUUCACUGGCAAAAUUCCUCGUCCAAACAUCCUGAACGUGAAAAAGACGGACGCACAGUGUGAACAGCAAGGCUUCAUUGUUACGACGCCUAAGUUCCCUAACCUUUGUGUUCGUGAAAACCCCCAGAAAAAAUAAUGAACCGUGAUUCUGCGGCUGUGAUGGGAAAGAAAUGCAGACCUAAUAAACAUUAUGUAACCCUUCAUGCAAAUUUGAAUUCAGCUUCAAUUCAAUGUUAUUGAAUGCUAUGAAUAAAAAAAAUAUAUAUAAUGCACUCUGA